CGGGGACCUAGGUGGCUUCAAUUGGUUAUGAGAUGAGGGAAAGUUGACUGACAUGGAUGAUAAUGUGCAACAAAGGCCUAUUACUCUGCUGAUAAAAAGGAGCUAGACGGUAAAAGCUGUUGGUUAAGGUAGUAGGAGUAAUGGGGUUAACUAGGCCAAUGUAGCUUACCGAUACGAGUAAAAGAUUGUCUAGAUAUGAUCUUUUCACUGGACAUGGUUAGUCUUUAGACAGAUGGUUAUAUAUGAAAUUCUGCCAGUAAUUGUGCUGAAUAUGCUUGGUGCCUUAAUAGUUUAAGAAGUAUAG
RNAcentral lists this unclassified non-coding RNA (304 nucleotides) under Hevea brasiliensis (rubber tree). The record is from RNAcentral. Lineage: Eukaryota; Viridiplantae; Streptophyta; Magnoliopsida; Malpighiales; Euphorbiaceae.